This 253-nucleotide ribosomal RNA is filed under the name uncultured bacterium. RNAcentral describes it as "partial 16S ribosomal RNA". It matches the Rfam family "Bacterial small subunit ribosomal RNA", at positions 524 to 776 of the family's 1533-position model. The record is from RNAcentral.
UACGUAGGGUGCGAGCGUUGUCCGGAAUUAUUGGGCGUAAAGAGCUUGUAGGCGGUCUGUCGCGUCUGCUGUGAAAAUCCGGGGCUCAACCCCGGACUUGCAGUGGGUACGGGCAGACUAGAGUGUGGUAGGGGAGACUGGAAUUCCUGGUGUAGCGGUGAAAUGCGCAGACAUCAGGAGGAACACCGAUGGCGAAGGCAGGUCUCUGGGCCACUACUGACGCUGAGAAGCGAAAGCAUGGGGAGCAAACAGG